ACGUAGGGGGCGAGCGUUGUCCGGAUUUAUUGGGCGUAAAGAGCUCGUAGGCGGUUUGGUAAGUCGGAUGUGAAAUCUCCAGGCUCAACCUGGAGGGGUCAUUCGAUACUGCCAUGACUAGAGUUCGGUAGGGGUGUGUGGAAUUCCUGGUGGAGCGGUGAAAUGCGCAGAUAUCAGGAGGAACACCCGUAGCGAAGGCGGCACACUGGGCCGAUACUGACGCUGAGGAGCGAAAGCGUGGGGAGCGAACAGGAUUAGAUACCCUGGUAGUCCACGCCGUAAACGUUGGGCACUAGGUGUGGGGUUCUAUCGACGGACUCCGUGCCGUAGCUAACGCAUUAAGUGCCCCGCCUGGGGAGUACGGCCGCAAGGCUA
Molecule: ribosomal RNA, 375 nt
Filed under: uncultured bacterium
Lineage: Bacteria
Description: bacterial SSU rRNA
Rfam family: Bacterial small subunit ribosomal RNA
Source: RNAcentral